GGAUUAGGCAUGCAAGUCGAACGAGAAAGGUUCCUUCGGGGACCGAGUACAGUGGCGAAAGGGUGAGUAAUGCAUAGAUAACCUGCCCUCGAGAUGGGAAUAACCUCGGGAAACUGGGGCUAAUACCCAAUGAGACCACGUGUCGCAAGGCAAGUGGUCAAAGAUAGCUUCGGCCUUCGCUCGAGGAGGGGUCUAUGUCCUAUUAGCUUGUUGGUGGGGUAACGGCCCACCAAGGCAACGAUGGGUAGCCGACCUGAGAGGGUGGCCGGCCACACUGGGACUGAGACACUGCCCAGACUCCUACGGGAGGCUGCAGUCGAGAAUCUUCCGCAAUGCGCGCAAGCGUGACGGAGCGACGCCGCGUGGAGGAUGAAGGCCUUCGGGUUGUAAACUCCUGUCACCUGGGAAGAAAGGUAGGUAGUUAAUAGCUGUCCUGCUUGACGUUACCAGGAGAGGAAGCACCGGCUAAAUACGUGCCAGCAGCCGCGGUAAUACGUAUGGUGCAAACGUUGUUCGGAAUCACUGGGCUUAAAGAGCACGUAGGCUGUUGAGAAAGUCUGAUGUGAAAUCCCUCAGCUCAACUGAGGAACUGCAUUAGAAACUUCUCGGCUAGAGUGCAGGAGGGGAGAGUGGAAUUCCUGGUGGAGCGGUGAAAUGCGUAGAUAUCAGGAGGAACGCCGGUGGCGAAAGCGACUCUCUGGCCUGCUACUGACGCUGAGGUGCGAAAGCUAGGGGAGCGAACGGGAUUAGAUACCCCGGUAGUCCUAGCCCUAAACGAUGGGCACUAAGUAGAGGGGUUUU
Molecule: ribosomal RNA, 801 nt
Filed under: uncultured Planctomycetota bacterium
Lineage: Bacteria; Pseudomonadati; Planctomycetota
Description: bacterial SSU rRNA
Rfam family: Bacterial small subunit ribosomal RNA
Source: RNAcentral